AAUAUUUGCCGAGGGGAAAAAAAAAUAUUUUGCGGCGAGGACCCUCAAGAAUCACUUCACUGCUGAUGUGACGCGCGGUGGAGAGACAGAGCAAAAGGGAGAGAUGUCUGUGCAGUGCGCGGCGCACGCGGUCCGGGCGCUUGCCGUGCUCCCGGCGCCAGCCUCCCCUCGCCGCCGGGCGACCUGUGUGUUCUUGUCCCUCCCGCCGCGGCGGCUGGGGCGCGCCGUCGCGCCCAUACGCGCCGCGAAGCCAUCGUCACCUCCUUCCGCAGCGCCCGCUGCGCAGCCAACCGGCGCCUCUGCCGGCAAGGCUGCCGUCCCGGACGACGAGUUCUCCCUCGCCAAGGUGUCCUUCGGUGUGAUUGGGCUGGGAGUUGGGAUCUCGCUCCUGUCGUAUGGAUUCGGCUCGUAUUUCAACCUGCUUCCCGGCUCGGAGUGGUCAGCGCUGCUGCUAACCUACGGGUUUCCUCUCACAAUCAUCGGCAUGGCCUUGAAGUAUGCAGAACUGAAACCAGUGCCCUGCAUAACCUACGCUGAGGCUCUUGCUCUAAGAGAAAAGUGUGCCACCCCCAUUCUGAAGCAGGUCAGGAGUGAUGUUACACGUUUUAGAUAUGGUGAUGAGCAGCACCUGGAUGAAGCGCUACAGCGAAUCUUUCAAUACGGUUUGGGUGGUGGCAUUCCUAGACGUAAUGCGCCUAUUUUACAAAAAAUUCAAGAAGAAGUAACUGAGGAUGGGAAAUACAGUUUAGUUCUGGUAUUUGAAGCCAAAGCACUGGAGCUAUCUGAUUUUGAGAAGAGACAGCAGGCAAAAUUCACCUCCUUUUUUGGUCCUGGUAUUAAGGCGGAAAUUGGAAACGGUGGCGAUGAUCUAUAUGAAGUUCGCCUUAUCUCAGAGACUACUUAGAAACAAACUUCGGGAAGUUCCUCAAAUACAAAACUGUCAAACCCGGUUUAGAAAAGCUUUGAUAGCUAUAAUUGGUUGUUGACUCUUGACUGCGAUCUGACACUUUCAUACACUCCAAGGGCUUGUGCAAAGAAAAAGCUAUUGUAACAUAGAUGUAAAUGGACUUGAUUGGGAGUGCUGUCCAUAUAAUUGAAAGAGGAGUGAAACAUUUCAGGGAAGGAUCGACACAUGAGUGAAUAAUAUAGAGAAUUGCUGCAACAGAUCUGAGGACCACAGAAGAGUAAUCAAUCAAUCCAUUCCAGGAUCUGGAUCUAGGCAACACUGAGCACUGACAACAGUAGAUCCUUCUUCUGGUAGGCCAGGUUACUGACAGAGCAGAUGACAAAUACUAGCUAUUACCAGACGACAAUCAUGUGAAUGUUUUCUGUGCUGCAUCUAGAACCCAUGAUUCUGGGCCCCAACUCCAGAAGCAGGACGUCCAGGUGAAUCGGCAGCAGGUUUACAGGAAGGAAUGUCAGGACCCUGCGUGGUUUGCUAACUGGGAAGCAUAAGCAUAACAGUAAAUUAGCAGCCGUGCAUCUACUGAAUACUGACGCAGACUGACACUGCAGCUUCUGAAAACAAAAACGGCACAUGCUGAAUGGAAGAUCAUGUGAGCAGUGGCUGCAGUUGUCGUGCGGCUUCCACUCGCUCAUGUGUGACUCUCAUGCCACAUGCACCCUUGACGAGCACCAGCUUUUCUGGUGUGUGCUUAGGCUAGGCUACUAAGGGAUAUUUAGGUUGUGAUUGCUACUACAUGAUGGUCAAAUGAGGAAUCUUAUGACCAGUCAGCCACAUCUGCUCUCUUGUACUUGCAGUAUUAUUAGCAGCUUAAUUCAUACGGUCUCGUAGCUGAUGGAGCUGA
Molecule: RNA transcript, 1808 nt
Organism: Panicum hallii
Lineage: Eukaryota; Viridiplantae; Streptophyta; Magnoliopsida; Poales; Poaceae
Gene name: thylakoid membrane protein slr0575-like
Exons: 11
Source: RefSeq, a predicted model, not a curated record